UGAUGUCCUGGUACCUCAGUGGCUACCACACUGGCUUCUACAUGGGUGUCCGUGAGGGCCGGGCCGCGGUGGCCGGUGGCUG
This is a long non-coding RNA of Nothoprocta perdicaria, 82 nucleotides long. RefSeq lists it as uncharacterized. The record is from RefSeq and is a predicted model, not a curated record. Lineage: Eukaryota; Metazoa; Chordata; Aves; Tinamiformes; Tinamidae. The transcript has 2 exons.